RNAcentral lists this ribosomal RNA (398 nucleotides) under Tetraselmis cordiformis. RNAcentral's name for it is "partial small subunit ribosomal RNA". It matches the Rfam family "Eukaryotic small subunit ribosomal RNA", at positions 30 to 432 of the family's 1831-position model. Lineage: Eukaryota; Viridiplantae; Chlorophyta; Chlorodendrophyceae; Chlorodendrales; Chlorodendraceae. The record is from RNAcentral.
GCUUGUCUCAAAGAUUAAGCCAUGCAUAUCUAAGAAUAACUAACAUUAUCUUGAAUCUGUGAAUGGCUCAUUAUAUCAGUUAUAGUUUACAUGAUAGUCAAUACUACUUGGAUAACCGUAGUAAUUCUAGAGCUAAUACGUGCGUAAAUCCCGACUCCUGGAAGGGACGUAUUUAUUAGAUUUAAGGCCAACCGAGCUUGCUCGUCUCUUGGUGAAUCAUGAUAACUUCACGAAUCGCAUGGCCUCGCGCCGGCGAUAUUUCAUUCAAAUUUCUGCCCUAUCAAUUGGCGAUGGUAGGAUAGAGGCCUACCAUGGUGUUAACGGGUGACGGGGGAUUAGGGUUCGAUUCCGGAGAGGCAGCCUGAGAAACGGCUACCACAUCCAAGGAAGGCAGCAGG